GUAAAUGCAUCAUCCAGAAAUGGUUGGAUAAAUUUAACUGAAAUUGGAUGAAAAGUAUAUGUCAGAUAGAAAAUAAUGAACUAAUCGGCUCGUGCAGGUGGAAGACAAGACUCUGUUCUCAAACUUGAAUCCUAGCAAACGUCGUGCGACCUCAGGUGUCCCUUGAUUUCUUUUAUCACAAUCAUUAAGAAGAACGCAUUCUGAAUCGGCUGGAUUAGAGUUGCUGGCACCACAUGACCCAGUAACAAGAGACGAGUAAUCACAAACAGCCAUACAAAAGAGAAGGAAUAUACCGGGGGAAAUCCCUACAUGUAGCAUUUAACACAUAGGCCUACAGGAGAGAUUAUUUAUAACUAAUUUUUAUCCACAAAGACGGAAUUCAUUUUGUAAACCAACUAUUUAUUUCAUGGAUAACUCAACCGUACACGUUGUCUUUAUCUUCUUGCUGUUUUAAAAGUGAUGGGCAGUUAAUUAUAAAACUACUAAAUAAGUAACUGCGUAGAAGUUUGGUCUGAAGUUUGACUGUUUUCUCAGAACAAAUUCAAACUAUAAUUGUAAUUAAUCAAACUAUAUUAUUCAAACUAUAAUUGUAAUUAAAACUGUAAUUAAUAUUACCAAAUCACAAAUCAAUAGAGCCGGGAUCUUUUUUAAAAAUAGAAAAGACACCUUUUGGCAUGACAUCACGGUGAAAGAAUUCAGCUUUAAUAUUAAUUAAAUUAAAACUCUUUGCGAGGUCGCCGUACUCGAGAGGUUGACGGCUAGAAAUUUCAAAUCUUCGGUUCAGUACAUGUUAUGAAGACAGAAAUCCAUUCGAUUCAGAAAUAAAAGAUCAACUAUUUCCGAACGAUAGUUAUAGUCAUUAUUAACAUUAUACUGAGUUAUGGGAGUUUGAAAGUCAAAUGCGAUCGUAUACUAUCAAAUUACUUCGAGCCUCGAGCUCACAGCUGGACAAGAAAUGGAAAUGCCGUGAAAAAAAUGCAAAUUUGAAGAUACAGGCAUGUAAAUAACAAUCUAAAUAGUGUUGUUGAUGGGGAUUCGAACAAGACUAUUACAAAGACGAUAUGUUUGAAGGGACCGAAGUUAUUUUUGGCGAAAGGUAUGGCUAGUCUAUAUUUUUGUUCAGACAAUCGCGUGAGCUAACCCAACCGGAAAUACGACUAAAAAAACGUCAAAACAAUGCGACGUUUGCAUCGUAUGACCUUGCAAAUGACCUUGCAAAUGGCCUAUGAUUUUUACAAAAAGCGUGUGCACUAUUUAUGUGAGAACACGAGUUUAUGGGAGGGGGAGAGAAAAUAUACUCGCUAUACUUAUCGCGGCAUAUCCCUGAUAAAAUAUAAUUGAAACCAAAUCUGCCAAAUCAGCGGCACCGGCUAUCGGGCAUUAGCUGAACGAUAAGCGACUGUAAACAGUGUUAUUUAGACCAAAAUGCUUUCAGCCAACCGUACAGCUUUAGCUAAAGUAGUUUUAUAAGCCUAGGCUUGCUUACUCGAAAAAAUAAACGCUUUUGACGAGCUCUUUGGUUAUUUAUUGAACUACAUGACUCGACGCUGAUUAUAUUAACAUACGGUUAUUCCGGUGAAAUAGGGGUUACGAAAAAAUUCGUCAAAAAUUCAAUUCUAAGUUGCCCGAAAAUUUUAUUCGAUCAAUAGCAAGCGAAAACAUAUUUCUUUGAUCUGGUUAAGAUUUUUUGUCUGAAUCGAUGUAACAAUGGAGAUAUUCGCUGCCUAAUAUGGCAUAUAAUAAAGAGGUUCGAAAAUAAUAAACAUUAAGAAAAUCUGUAAAAUAUUCACUUUUAACAGAAAUGUCCCUAAAUUUCGUCUGCUGCUCAAUAAAUAACUCUAAUUUAUAAAACGAAAUCAUGUUUUGUGAAAUAUUCCCAUUAACGCGCAAAAUAGAGCGAUUUCGGUAGGGCCGUAAAAUGACCUUUAAAAAUCGAACGUGGCCUGGGAAAACCAAUUUCGACGUCUCUCUCCUUCAAUAUUUAUCCGAUCGAAAUAAAACUUUCACAACAUUAAUACUUCAUAUAGGCCUAUAUUCUCACAAAGUUUCAAGGAUUUUGAAUUUUCUCAUUUUACACGUCUUACCUGAAUAUUACAGACAACCGCUCUUAAGAUCAUUGUUAGUAGGAUCUUGUCAAUAGUUAGCUUAAUCUCCUGUUAAUUAUAGCUUCAUAGAGUCCGUAAAAUUCGUAAGUCAACGAUCCUGCCAAUGAUCUUUCUUUAGGGACCGGUCAUUAUUUAUGGCAGGGGUGGGGGCCGAAGAGAAAGUAUAAUGCAGCCGGAAAAAAUCCUACACUACUACUACAAAAAAAAGAAAAAAAAAAAAAAAAAGAAAAAAAAAAGCUACCCCACCGGUGGAAUGCUGAAAAAAGUUUUUACCCCACCCAAACCUAUUUUGUUGCAACGUCAAAGGUCCAGACAUAAAAUAUGUAAUAUGAAACAGUUUAGUAUUUUGUAUGUGUAUUACUCAUCAAGGUCCAAAAUUGCCAUUGAUGAGUAAGAUCAUCUGCCGUUAGAGAGUAAAUAAUAAUUAUUAUAGGGUGCUUUGACCACAGUGGCAUUAUAAUUAAAAGGGAAUGGGAUUGAUUGGUAAAUGUACUUGUUUACCAAUAUCUCUUGCCCCUUAAUUCUUGUAUGAUGGGUUACAGUACCUCUACAGUUGCAAGGUACUAUAUAAAGAAUUAUAGUUAUCUGAAGGCUUAAAAUUUGUCUGCUGAAAAUAAGACUUGUCAUUUGUGUAGUAUGUUUCCUUUCAAUGGAAAUGCAAAUUCAUAAUAUAGAAUAAUAAUUUAUGUUAUAAUUAAGCUUUAAUUAGGGUGGACCCAUAGGGAAAUGCCAAUAGAAUUAAAGGAUUCUAACAUUUCUGGACUGGAGAUUCAGAUGGAAGUUAUAUUGCUCACUCAUAUUAAGACUGGCAUGCACUCUGACUCAAGCAACUGCACUGUAAUUUGCAUGUUAUGGGAGACAUGGGGGUUUGGAUCAAUGAAUGCUAAAAUCUCGGCAGUUGGCCAUUUCAUAUUGGGAUACUUCGCUAGUUUACGUUUAGCUUUUACAUACUUGUUAAAUGGAAAUAUAAUUGGGGGUUUAUAGUUUGUAUUCAACGCUAUAUUCCCUUUUCACGAGAUAGUGCAAUGCUAUAGUCCCAUAAACAUAUAUAUUAACCACUGAUAUAAAAUCUGUAAGCAUAUAUUUCAAGAUUUUAGAACACUAACCGUAUCUCACCACCCCUAUCUCUUUCCCACUUUAAAGUUUCACUGUAUACAAUUUGGUUUCUUUCACAUUCUUGCAUUUCUUUAUUAAUUAAAAUGCAAUUUUAUUUUGAAAUAGUCUCACAGAAUAUUUGCUCACCCAUGAUUGCAACUAUCUAAAUUCUAGAAUUUCCUAAAUUCCUUUAAAAUUUCCUUAAUAUAGACAAUCACAUGUAAUUAUCAUGGAAUUUUAAAGGAAUUCCUUAAGAUUCCCACCAGGGCUGCCACUCUCGACAACCUAUUUUCACCUAUGGCGGGCACUGAAAUCCCUACGUAUCCCCUACAGCACGAUAUGCAAUUUUCCCCUAUGUCCCCCUACGUUCCCCUACAAAUAUUGUAUUUUCCCUACAAAUAUGGUCAUGGGUCACUGGGCUGUAUAAUAACUGGAGGAUUUGCUCCUAUACUUACUACACAAUAGAGAGUUAAGCUUCACGUUCAACGACAAACGUCAGGCAAAGAAAAAUUCUACGAUAUAAAGCAAUAAAAAGUAAAUGGGCUUGUUGUUUCAUACGAAAGAAAAAAUGACACGCAGAAAUGGAACGAAAAUUAUGCCAAGAAAAGUCGGCCUUGCCAUUUGGCGCUCCCGCAUACGUGAAGCUUAAACUCCCUUUUUACUGUAAAACCCGAGCAAAAUUGCAAAAACCUAAAGUUUUUUCAGGCAACUAGGAGGUGUGGAAAUUGCAGCGAGCUCAAAUCCGAGCCAGGUCAGUGGUAAUUACCAUGAGAAUUACGGUCCAGUUGUCAUGGAAAUGCCGUCAGCCAAGGCCAAAAUCCGCCAUGUUUUUAGCUGUACUUUUUUUCGCGUGCAGGUUCUCCUGGGUAAAUACAAUAUCAUUAAUCACAUGAUAUUUCAGUGCUUCCACAUUCAAAUUUAGAUUUCUAGUUGUUUCCAUACAAUCCUGCAGUUCCAUACAAUGUUCCAUACUCCAUAGAAGCCAUACAAUAUUAAAAUUUACGGAAGGACUGAUUCGGAUAAUCACAAAAAGAGAAAUACGAUAUUUGUAGAUAAACCGUGAAAGAAACCCCCCACGUUUCCCUACAAAUUACCUUUUUCCCCGUAGGUAUCCCCUACUCCCUACAAGAGGUGAUAAUCCCCUACCGUAGGGGAAUCCCCCUACGAGUGGCAGCCUUGGUUCCCACGGAAUUCUUGAAGUUUAUGAAAUCAAUUUAAUAGUUUAAUUUGUAAACAAUACAACAAUAUUAAAGUAUAGUGUAUGUCCCAUGUGAG
This is a non-coding RNA of Paramuricea clavata, 4475 nucleotides long. NCBI's taxonomy places the organism in Eukaryota, Metazoa, Cnidaria, Anthozoa, Malacalcyonacea, Plexauridae. The record is from the annotation of a GenBank genome assembly.